AAGUCGUAACAAGGUUUCCGUAGGUGAACCUGCGGAAGGAUCAUUAUCGAGUUCCUGCCCCUCCGGGGUAGAUCUCCCACCCUAGCUUAUCCAACUUUGUUGCUUUGGCGGGCCGUCCGUUCGGCCGGCUGGUGCGUGCCCGUCAGAGACCCACACACGCUCUUGAUUGUGUUGUCUGAGUCCUUAUAUAAUCGUUAAAACUUUCAACAACGGAUCUCUUGGUUCUG
RNAcentral lists this unclassified non-coding RNA (227 nucleotides) under Leotiomycetes sp. RNAcentral describes it as "partial contains small subunit ribosomal RNA, internal transcribed spacer 1, and 5.8S ribosomal RNA". The stretch from base 1 to 46 matches the Rfam family "Eukaryotic small subunit ribosomal RNA", at positions 1786 to 1831 of the family's 1831-position model. The record is from RNAcentral. Lineage: Eukaryota; Fungi; Ascomycota; Leotiomycetes.